UGCGAACUGGAGGUUGGGUGCAACCUGGCACGCAGUCUCGAAGCUAACGCGUUAAGUUCGCCGCCUGGGAGUACGGUCGCAAGACUGAAACUCAAAGGAAUUGACGGGGGCCCGCACAAGCGGUGGAGUAUGUGGUUUAAUUCGAUGCAACGCGCAGAACCUUACCUGGCCUUGACAUGUCCGGAAUCCUGCCGAGAUGCGGGAGUGCCUUCGGGAAUCGGAACACAGGUGCUGCAUGGCUGUCGUCAGCUCGUGUCGUGAGAUGUUGGGUUAAGUCCCGCAACGAGCGCAACCCUUGUCCUUAGUUGCCAGCACGUGAUGGUGGGAACUCUAAGGAGACUGCCGGUGACAAACCGGAGGAAGGUGGGGGA
This 371-nucleotide ribosomal RNA is filed under the name uncultured bacterium. Its description in RNAcentral is "bacterial SSU rRNA". It matches the Rfam family "Bacterial small subunit ribosomal RNA", at positions 810 to 1180 of the family's 1533-position model. The record is from RNAcentral.